CAUUGUUUCUGUGCAGCAUUGUUACACCACAUCAAAUGUGCUGCACAGCACAGGUAACACCUGAUGGAACCCAUCAUAUCAAAUGUCUGUGGUACUGCUCCAAUGACCUUAUAUUCUUUAACAAUGACAAAUUAUAUAUGAGCAGCACAUCAGUCUGGAUUAUGCCAUGUCAAGGAGCAGUGAGGGAGGUCCCAAACAUUUGGAUCUUGACACUGAUGUCAAGUCAGGCACCUUAGGCUGCCACAAGAGCUGAUGACGAGGACUGGGAUACACUCAGCCUUAUCUGGCCACCAGAAGGAGAGUGGAAAGAACCUUGGAAUUCCAUCACUUCAGAGGGGGCAAUCUGGAUCCAUUCAGCUUCAUCAAGCUUACUGAAUGGCCAGACAGCCCGGACUAUGCCAUUAUGCCAUCUUGAGGACUAAUGAAGGAAGUCCCAAACAUUUAGAGCUUGGCACUGAUGUUGAGUCAGGCCCCUCAGGUUGCCUCAAGAGUGAAGGACCUUAUAUCCACAACAUCUGGACUUCAGAAGGCCAGGACUAGGAUCCACUCAGCUUUGCCUGGCUGCCAGAAGGAAAGUGGAAAGGAACUUGAGCGGGCCGCUGUGGCUGAGCGGAUCUAGGCACUUCAGUCCGGAACCGCGUGACUGCUACGGUCGCAGGUUCGAAUCCUGCCUCGGGCAUGGAUAUGUGUGAUGUCCUUUGGUUGGUUAGUUCCAGGGGACUGGUGACCUCUGAUGUUAAGUCCCAUAGUGCUCAGAGCCAUUUCAACCAUUUUGAAAGGACCUUGGAAUUCCAUCACUUAAGAGGUGGCGAUCCAGAUCCUUUCAGCAUCGUCAGGCUU
Schistocerca nitens (vagrant locust) is the source of this 840-nucleotide long non-coding RNA. RefSeq lists it as uncharacterized. The record is from RefSeq and is a predicted model, not a curated record. The transcript has 3 exons. NCBI's taxonomy places the organism in Eukaryota, Metazoa, Arthropoda, Insecta, Orthoptera, Acrididae.